This is a long non-coding RNA of Nymphaea colorata (pocket water lily), 1076 nucleotides long. RefSeq lists it as uncharacterized. NCBI's taxonomy places the organism in Eukaryota, Viridiplantae, Streptophyta, Magnoliopsida, Nymphaeales, Nymphaeaceae. The transcript is spliced from 3 exons. The record is from RefSeq and is a predicted model, not a curated record.
CGAGCUUUUCUUCUUUCAUUUCCGCCUUUCUCUUCUCUCUCCUCUCCGCUGUUCUCUCUUAUUCACCGGGACAAGAAAACCAGACCGGCGACAGGCGGGCGGCGACCACCGACCGGAGCUUGACGAAGAUGCUGUCGUUGCAUGGCUGCAGCCAUCGCGGGUGACGAAGCUUCAAGCAGCCUCGCUUCCAUCGCGAGUGACCAAGUUUUCAGGCGGCAGACUUGCAGCGAUCGCGGGAAGCAGCGGCCUUGUUUUUCGUCCUGGAAUUUUCGGGGGAAAGAUGUUUCCGGAAAGACAUCGGCUAUGCGGCACGUAGUGGAUUAAUGUAUCUUGAUUUAUCAGGCAACAAUUUUAUAGAAGGAGCAUCCUCCGUUUGAUUUGCCAAGCUUAAUGCACCAGAAAAGCUCCUCUUAAGAUGAGUAUGAACGAGCUUUGCUGGGAAAAAAAAGCUUGGGGAACAUUUCAUGGUCAAAUCGAAAAGGUGAAGAUGAUGAUGAUGAUGAUGAGGAGGAGGAAUGUGCUUCCAACCACCCAUCAUAGUAUAAGCGCCCUCUGUAUGCAACCAGGUCUGCGUAAUAUACUGGUGGUACCAAAGAAACUGGCCUGGUGCACCUGGCAAACGUGAAGCACAGAUUAUACACCCAUGACUGCAAUUCAUUUGAUGAGAAUUUAUUUUCAUCCCACAAGACGUGGUAAUGUGCAGGCUUGCUUGUCCCAAACGAUCCAUGGUGACUGCAGAGAAAGAAAUCAAGCCCGUUCUUCACAUGAACAAUCUUUGUAUCGACUAUGGUCCCUGGAGGCACGUUGCCUUGCUUUGUCGCAUCCUGAAGAAAAAGUCUUGUGCGGUGCCGUUUCUGGGCAACAAUAAGUGUUAUAGAUGGAUUAUAGCUAAUACUUGCAAAUGCCGUCUUCAUCUCCUUCAACUCCUCGUCGAGCACCAUGUUGAACUGCCCUUCACUAACACCAUCCCGGAAAAAGACAACCUUUUCUGCAUAUUUUCUGUUUCUCUCGUGAUACAUCUGUGCAAGCUUUAUGCACAUAUCACCAAGAUUCACAAUCUUUUCCUUACGGUUGUC